GUGGGGAAUAUUGGACAAUGGGCGAAAGCCUGAUCCAGCCAUGCCGCGUGUGUGAAGAAGGUCUUCGGAUUGUAAAGCACUUUAAGUUGGGAGGAAGGGCAUUAACCUAAUACGUUAGUGUUUUGACGUUACCGACAGAAUAAGCACCGGCUAACUUCGUGCCAGCAGCCGCGGUAAUACGAAGGGUGCAAGCGUUAAUCGGAAUUACUGGGCGUAAAGCGCGCGUAGGUGGUUCGUUAAGUUGGAUGUGAAAGCCCCGGGCUAAACCUGGGAACUGCAUCCAAAACUGGCGAGCUAGAGUACGGUAGAGGGUGGUGGAAUUUCCUGUGUAGCGGUGAAAUGCGUAGAUAUAGGAAGGAACACCAGUGGCGAAGGCGACCACCUGGACUGAUACUGACACUGAGGUGCGAAAGCGUGGGGAGCAAACAGGAUUAGAAACCCUUGUAGUCC
This 450-nucleotide ribosomal RNA is filed under the name uncultured bacterium. RNAcentral's name for it is "partial 16S ribosomal RNA". It matches the Rfam family "Bacterial small subunit ribosomal RNA", at positions 354 to 796 of the family's 1533-position model. The record is from RNAcentral.